Molecule: ribosomal RNA, 465 nt
Filed under: uncultured bacterium
Lineage: Bacteria
Description: partial 16S ribosomal RNA
Rfam family: Bacterial small subunit ribosomal RNA
Source: RNAcentral
GACGAACGCUGGCGGCGUGCUUAACACAUGCAAGUCGUACGGUAAGGCCCUUUCGGGGGUACACGAGUGGCGAACGGGUGAGUAACACGUGAGUAACCUUCCCACAACUUUUGGAUAACGCUAGGAAACUGGUGCUAAUACUGGAUAUGUGCUCCUGCUGCAUGGUGGGGGUUGGAAAGCUCCUGGGGUUGUGGAUGGACUCGCGGCCUAUCAGCUUGUUGGUGGGGUAGUGGCCUACCAAGGCGGCGACGGGUAGCCGGCCUGCGAGGGUGACCGGCCACAUUGGGACUGAGAUAAGGCCCAGACGCCUACGGGAGGAAGAAGUGGGGAAUAUUGCACAAUGGGCGCAAGCCUGAUGCAGCAACGCCGCGUGCGGGAUGACGGCCUUCGGGUUGUAAACCGCUUUCAGCAGGGACGAAGCUUUUUGUGACGGUACCUGAAGAAGAAGCACCGGCUAACUACGUG